AGGACGACAAUGUUUAUCGAGCAUAGGUCGUUGUGUGCCAUAUGGGUUGGUUGUCCUCAUAACCAAAGAGUGUGGAGACACUGGUAUGACAUACAGGUGAGAUGUAAUGGUACAUCUGCACUGAACGUGACCAACUCCGGAGCUAUUUCUGCUAUCAAGAUUUACUCCGAUGGGAUAUGGGUAUAAAUGUCCCUCCGACCUGAGAACGCCACGGUGACUUGCAAGCAACUCACUGCACUUAGGCACUGGACUACCUGAAUUUUUAAUUCAGUAACAGAAGGCUGCUAGGUGUAGUCAAGUACUUGACUUGUCGGUGCGUGUGUCAAGAUGGGAUUGACCACUCCAGUUUAGGAGCUGUGUACAGUCGUGUUUCAAUUUAGCAAAACCUUGGUCAAGGUAGUCCUAGUG
This 408-nucleotide long non-coding RNA is filed under the name Elaeis guineensis (African oil palm). RNAcentral's name for it is "long non-coding RNA (EGUI_LNC035124)". Lineage: Eukaryota; Viridiplantae; Streptophyta; Magnoliopsida; Arecales; Arecaceae. The record is from RNAcentral.